Phrynosoma platyrhinos (Desert horned lizard) is the source of this 72-nucleotide non-coding RNA. The record is from the annotation of a GenBank genome assembly. NCBI's taxonomy places the organism in Eukaryota, Metazoa, Chordata, Lepidosauria, Squamata, Phrynosomatidae.
GUCAGAGUGGCAUAGUGGUUUGAGUGUUGGACUACAACACCAGAGACCAGGAUUUGAUUCCCAGCUCGGCCA